AGCUGGUAUCGACGUCUAUCUUCUGAUUUCCAUUUUCGCAAUGUACUAAUGGGGAAAAAGACGGUAGAAGUAUUCGUGAAAACUCGGUAAUUGAUUCGGGUAUCUGAGGAGAAAAUAAGGUUCAAUUUUACGUACCACAACUGGCUGGUACUUUCGUUGCGAUACCAGCUUCUCGGCAUACGGAGAAGUAAGCCAUAGCCAUGUUACAACUGCCCUCCUUUUUGUCGCCAGCCAUCGAAGCGUGGUCACAGGCCUGACGGUAUGGACCUGGAUUUACGAAGUUGAAGCAAGGGCUGAAAGGCGACCUGCCGCUGAAGAAUUCUGUGCACGUAGCGUCGUGAUGAUGGGCAUGAUGAUCGACGGUCUGGACGUUCGGGCAUCCGGAAGUUAUCUUAAAGGAAUUUCCAAACUCGCCCUCGUUCUCGGUAACCUGGGAAAAAAUGCAUGAAUGAAUGAAUGAAUGAA
This 465-nucleotide unclassified non-coding RNA is filed under the name Athalia rosae (coleseed sawfly). Its description in RNAcentral is "misc RNA ENSAEAG00005006346.1". Lineage: Eukaryota; Metazoa; Arthropoda; Insecta; Hymenoptera; Athaliidae. The record is from RNAcentral.